Non-coding RNA from Sus scrofa (pig), 1832 nucleotides. The record is from RefSeq and is a predicted model, not a curated record. NCBI's taxonomy places the organism in Eukaryota, Metazoa, Chordata, Mammalia, Artiodactyla, Suidae.
UUAAAAGCCCUUCCUGAAACCUAUCAGAGGGUUUAAGUCUUUUUUGAGCAUGAACUGUCCUGCUCUCCUUGCUUGAACCUUGCAAGAAGCAUUUCUCUGAUCGAAACUCUGACAUUUUGGUUUGGCCUCACUGUGCAUUGGGCACACGAACGUGGGUUUGACAACACUAUUAUAUGUAUUUUUUCUCAUUUAUUUAUUUGCUUAUUUGCUUUAGCCAUUUUACUGGCUGUCUUUCAGUAUAUCAUUCUGGUCUUUAAUUUGCAUUUCCAUGACAAAGAUGGCAAGCAUCCUUUCAUGUACAUAUUGAUGCUUAUUUUAUUAAGUAUCUAUUCAAAGCCUUUCUUGUUUUAUAUAACUUAAUGAAUAAAAUUGUUGAUUUCUGCCAGAAAGCUUGCCAGAAUUUUGAUUGAGUUUGCAAUGCUAUAGAUCAUUGUGGGGAGAAAUGAUGUCUCAAAAGACUGGAUUUUCUAGUCUAAGAAUGUGGCGUAUCUCUCCAUUUAUUUAGGUCUUCUUUAACUUAACCCAGCAAGGUUUGGUAGAUUUUUAUGUAAGGGACUUAAACUUUCAUUACUGAAUUUAUCCUUAAUUAUGAUUAUAAAUGAAUUUCUAAAUUGUAUUUCCAGCUGUUCACUGUAAGUAUGUACAAAUGCAGCUGAGUUUUGUAUGAUGAUUGCGCUGGGUUGAAUAGUGCCCCUCCUCACCCCAAAUCUGUGCCUGGUCAGAACUUGUGACCUUAUUUGGAAUGAGGAUGUUCACAGGUGUAAUUAGCUAAGGAUCUGAAGAUAAAUCAUUUAGAUUUAGGCUGGGCCUCCUUAUAAGGAGAUGAGGGAACACUGACACACAUCGAAGAAGGCCAUAUGAAGAUGGAGUCAGAGAUUGGACUUAGAACUGGGGCCACCAGAACGACCUCACAGCCAGCUCAAAGGACAAGAUGGGCUGCCUGACUGAUUAUACCCUGAGAAUAUUUAUGUAACUUCUGGAUGGAAGCAAAAUACUGAAAAGAGGAUACAGAAGAUAAAGUAAUGGAAGCUGGCCUGACUUAAGCCUCAUGUAAUCCCUAGCAUCUCCUAAAUCACAAGAGCCCUCAGCAUGCAGAAGUUCCUGGGCAGGGGAUUGGACCCACACCAUAGCAGUGACCUAGGCAGCUACAGUAACAGUGUCAGAUCCUUAACCUGCUGUGUCACAGGAGAAAUCCAAAUAAAUUUAUUUACUAGAUUUCUUCCUACAGCGAAAGAGAGCAUUAUUCUCUGUUAAAUUUAAAAGCAUAUAAUAUAACAUAUUAAAUCUACAGUGAAUAAAAACAGAAAGAACUUCUCUUCAUUUCUUUGUCUAAUGUGUGUUCCAUGACUUAGCAAAAGUACUAUGCUCCAGGCAUGAUGAAAUGCAAAUACUCAGGGGAACUGCUACCAUUUAAAUAGGUUCUAACAAUUCAGGCACAAAAAGCCACCACAGCAAAGCUGACUCUUUCUCCCCAGGAUCCUUCAACCUCAAAAAAAUGUCAACCUCAAAAAAUACAUGCAUAGGAGUUAAAGGUUCACCCAAAAGUCAACAGUAUAACUAAAAGAGAAAAAUCACAAUCCACAGUUGGCUCCAGGAAGUUAAGAAUUGAGGGAAAAAAAAUCCCAAUUCUAUUUUGAAUUUUGUUCGGGCUGGUCUGUUUGGUUUAGCAGGCAAAGGAUGAAGAAUAUGUAAAUGCCCAAUUUGAGCCUCACAGUUAUAAAUGUUGAGCAUUUUCUUAAAGUCAACAAUAUUUUCUUUAAUUAAACCAUUCAUGGAGUUCCCAUUGUGGCUCAGCAGGUUAAGAACCUGACUAGUAUCCAUGAGGAUAUGCA